RNAcentral lists this long non-coding RNA (498 nucleotides) under Sorghum bicolor (sorghum). RNAcentral describes it as "long non-coding RNA (SBIC_LNC006186)". Lineage: Eukaryota; Viridiplantae; Streptophyta; Magnoliopsida; Poales; Poaceae. The record is from RNAcentral.
CAGGUUCUAAUUUUCGUCCAUCCAUUUGUUUGGUCGGAUAGUGGAAAGUUUCUUCCACCUAGACUUUAUAUAUAGUCUGUGCUUAUACGAGUUAGAAUAGCUCUUGUCUAGCGGGAUACAGAGUCCAAUUCCAAAACAUAUUAGGUCGCGUAGGUGAUCGGGACUCAUAAGCCUUCCUAAGCCUGCCACACCCACAAAUUCUAUAGUAUAGGCUAGCAAAAUAUGCUCGUGCAUUGCACGAGAGAAAAACUAUUGUAUAUUUAGCUGGUCAACGAGGAGCAAAGAAAAGAGGUUGCCUGCGCGUUCUAAUAUGAGAUUCUGGUGGGCAGCUGCUCCGUGCCAGCGAGUGGUUUGGCGGACUUCAUGCAGAGUCCAUGGUGGUGUAUGCCACAAUGCACAACAUAUGAUGAGUCCCAGUCCUCGAUUUGAAGAGCAUAAACAGAAUAAAGUUGCUGGUAAGAGACCAUGCAGAGCAGAGGUGUAGCGAAGUCGCUGGCG